RNAcentral lists this ribosomal RNA (897 nucleotides) under Podospora comata. RNAcentral describes it as "LSU rRNA". It matches the Rfam family "Eukaryotic large subunit ribosomal RNA", at positions 36 to 966 of the family's 3401-position model. Lineage: Eukaryota; Fungi; Ascomycota; Sordariomycetes; Sordariales; Podosporaceae. The record is from RNAcentral.
AAGCAUAUCAAUAAGCGGAGGAAAAGAAACCAACAGGGAUUGCCUCAGUAACGGCGAGUGAAGCGGCAACAGCUCAAAUUUGAAAUCUGGCCUCGGCCCGAGUUGUAAUUUGUAGAGGAAGCUUUUGGUGCGGCACCGACCGAGUCCCCUGGAACGGGGCGCCAUAGAGGGUGAUAGCCCCGUAUGGUUGGACGCCUAUCCUCUGUAAAGCUCCUUCGACGAGUCGAGUAGUUUGGGAAUGCUGCUCUAAAUGGGAGGUAGAUUCCUUCUAAAGCUAAAUACCGGCCAGAGACCGAUAGCGCACAAGUAGAGUGAUCGAAAGAUGAAAAGCACUUUGAAAAGAGGGUUAAAUAGCACGUGAAAUUGUUGAAAGGGAAGCGCCUGUGACCAGACUUGCGCCCCGUCGAUCAUCCGGGGUUCUCCCCGGUGCGCUCGGCGGGGCUCAGGCCAGCAUCGGUUCUCGCGGGGGGACAAAGGCUCCGGGAACGUAGCUCCUCCGGGAGUGUUAUAGCCCGGGGCGUAAUGCCCUCGCGGGGACCGAGGACCGCGCUUCGGCAAGGAUGCUGGCGUAAUGGUCACCGGCGACCCGUCUUGAAACACGGACCAAGGAGUCAAGGUUUUGCGCGAGUGUCUGGGUGUAAAACCCGCACGCGUAAUGAAAGUGAACGUAGGUGAGAGCUUCGGCGCAUCAUCGACCGAUCCUGAUGUAUUCGGAUGGAUUUGAGUAGGAGCGUUAAGCCUUGGACCCGAAAGAUGGUGAACUAUGCUUGGAUAGGGUGAAGCCAGAGGAAACUCUGGUGGAGGCUCGCAGCGGUUCUGACGUGCAAAUCGAUCGUCAAAUCUGAGCAUGGGGGCGAAAGACUAAUCGAACCAUCUAGUAGCUGGUUACCGCCGAAG